Molecule: ribosomal RNA, 462 nt
Filed under: uncultured Anoxybacillus sp.
Lineage: Bacteria; Bacillati; Bacillota; Bacilli; Caryophanales; Anoxybacillaceae
Description: bacterial SSU rRNA
Rfam family: Bacterial small subunit ribosomal RNA
Source: RNAcentral
CCGCACAAGCGGUGGAGCAUGUGGUUUAAUUCGAAGCAACGCGAAGAACCUUACCAGGUCUUGACACUCCCCUGACAACCGAGAGAUCGGGCGUUCCCCUUCGGGGGACAGGGUGACAGGUGGUGCAUGGUUGUCGUCAGCUCGUGUCGUGAGAUGUUGGGUUAAGUCCCGCAACGAGCGCAACCCUCGACCUUAGUUGCCAGCAUUCAGUUGGGCACUCUAAGGUGACUGCCGGCUAAAAGUCGGAGGAAGGUGGGGAUGACGUCAAAUCAUCAUGCCCCUUAUGACCUGGGCUACACACGUGCUACAAUGGGCGGUACAAAGGGUUGCCAACCCGCGAGGGGGAGCCAAUCCCAUAAAGCCAGUCGUAGUCCGGAUCGUAGUCUGCAACUCGACUACGUGAAGUCGGAAUCGCUAGUAAUCGUGGAUCAGAAUGUCACGGUGAAUACGUUCCCGGGUCUU